UUGAUGUCAUCUGUUGCUUAUUUUGGUUGCUUCCAAUCUGUAUUUUAGAUAGCCAGUGUUUGCAUAAUGUGAUAGUAUUUAUAAGCUCUAGAGAAACAGUGGAAUAUGGUUUCCCGUGUAAGCAGUGUUUACAGUAGUACUGUUUACACCUUCCUUGCUAAGUGAAAGCUUAUAGAUGAAAUAAAUUGAGUCCAGGGUGUACUACUAACAACACAACUGAAUUUUGAAGUUCAGAUGUUAAAAUAUCAUGAAUAGGAAAUCUGAAGGGAUGUGAUGUUAUUUACGCAUUCCUUUCGUGAAUGUCCAUAGCAUAAUAGAUAUAAUGUCUAAUCGGUAGUAAUGGAAUGGUUUCAUUAUCUAAAUGAAGGGCAUUUUGCACCAGAGAAUCAGUUCUGCGGUCAUUUACCCUUGACAGUGUACACAUUCUCCUAUCUGACCUAGCUGGCGAGUGAUCCUAGUUCAUGGCAUUGUGAGUGAAUUGCUGUGGAUUGGUUAAGAUGAAAGCAUUCACAGUUAGAUGAAUUAUGCCAUGUAGUAUAUAAAUAGUAAUUGAACUUGAAAUGGCAUUGUGAGUGAAUUGCUGUGGAUUGGUUAAGAUGAAAGCAUUCACAGUUAGAUGAAUUAUGCCAUGUAGUAUAUAAAUAGUAAUCGAAUUCGAAAGAAAAAAGAUGACCAUGCCACAUGUAUUUCUCUGCCCAUGUUUACACAGUCACACGGCUUCUCCUUUUUUAUGCCUUUUAAAGAACUGAGUGAACUGCCUUGAUGUCACUCGUGUUCCCAUGCGGGCAUACAGAAAACUGAAAGUAAUUCCUUUCUCUUCUGUUUUAUAAGAGUGUAUUCUUUGUUCUUAUGUGAAAGAAAGGUCUUACACAUAUCUUCAUGUCACCCAAUUUGGCCAUUUCAAAUGAGUUCUCACUUUAAGAAAGUGAUUUUCUUUUCUUUUAA
This is a long non-coding RNA of Rosa chinensis, 945 nucleotides long. RefSeq lists it as uncharacterized. The record is from RefSeq and is a predicted model, not a curated record. The transcript has 2 exons. NCBI's taxonomy places the organism in Eukaryota, Viridiplantae, Streptophyta, Magnoliopsida, Rosales, Rosaceae.